Hibiscus syriacus is the source of this 230-nucleotide long non-coding RNA. RefSeq lists it as uncharacterized. The transcript has 3 exons. The record is from RefSeq and is a predicted model, not a curated record. NCBI's taxonomy places the organism in Eukaryota, Viridiplantae, Streptophyta, Magnoliopsida, Malvales, Malvaceae.
GGGAUCCGGUGAAACUGCAGAUGGAGAGGGAGGAACUUGAAAGGCGGCAGAGAGAAGAAAAAGCACGACUGCAAGCGGAGGCCAAAGCUGCGGAAGAGGCAAAGAAAAAAGCUGAAGCUGAAGCUGCUGUUCAAGCCAAAAGGAAGAGGGAGCUGGAGAGAGAAGCCGCACGGCAGGCUCUUUUAAAGGUGGAGAAGACAGUGGACAUCAAUGAGAACGGUCGAUUUAGG